AUUUCAAAAUCAGAAAUCUAGGGUUUCAAGUUUCACUUUGAAUAUCUCUUUCUCCGGUGAAUCUCGCCGUCGCCGCCGCCGCCGCCGCUGCCGCUGCCGCUGCUCGACCGUUCCUCACGCCCUCUGCUCUCACCGUUUCAGGUAUUCCUUCUCUCUUACUCGUUCUCUCUCCCCUUGCCAUCUACGCUUCCUCCCCGAUCUCCCUCCACCCCCUGCUCUCGUUCGCGGCGCCGCCGCGAAUCGCCGCUGCGUAUCCUUGCUAUGGUAUCCUCAUCGCUGCUCCUGUCGAAAGCUCGCGGCAGUUCGGCAGUCGCCGAGGAAAUCUCGGCUGCGGCGGCGAUGAGAGCGUGAUUCGGGAAGAUAAGCUGCGGAGCACAAGGAAUCAUCGGCGACAUACGAAUGGACCGUGGAAUGGUAUCCGCUGUACCUCGCGACGUAAGUAUCGGACGACGCGCCGCUAGGGCUCACCGCGACAUCUGCCGCGAACCGCCGCUGCUCGAGCAGCACCAGCGGUCGUCGCCGCCAGUUGCACCUCCGCCGUGGUGGUUCUCGGCUAUUGCUGCCCCAUUUUCUUCUUCUAUUUUGUUCUUUUUCUUUACUUAUUCUAUGUUAAAUCCUUGUUCUAAUUCUUCCCUAACUAUUCCCCUAUUUCAGGAAUCGACCGAAUGUCGAACGUUGUCGAUUCGAGGGUGAGAAAUGAUUAAAGAGUUCUGCACAGAAUCUCUAACUAUUUCUCUAACUAUAGAAUAGUGAUUUAUUACAAGUUCUAAGGAAAAGUUGAGGUUUUGUUCACUGCCCAUGUUAGAAUUCUUAUGGCUUUUUGUGAAUUAAUUGGCAUUACUUGAUGAUAUCCGGAAGGCACUUGGUUGUUUUGAUUGUCCUUAUUGUUUUGCUUCAUUUUUAAUUGCUUAAUCCUUCACUUGCAGAUGCCUUGUUAAGAUUAGGUAACUACAUAAUUGUUUUACACUUGGAUUAAGCAAGGUCAUUAUGUUUGAUUCUGUAAUUUUGACAGAGAAGGGUUAAGUUGUACAGUUCUCUGAAAUUGCUGUUAAUAUGGAUAACUUUCAAGAUCCCCAUAAAGGGCUUCUUUGUCAAUUAUCAAUGCUUGAAAGAAGAAUGGCUCAAGGAUCUGAUGACUAGGCCAAAAUUGUUGAUGACAGCAUAAAGCAUGCAAAAGAAGCCAUCUCUCUAGAUGUCAAGGAUGGGAACUCUUGGUAUAACUUAGGUAAUGCUUGUCUCACUUCUUUUUUUGUCACUGGAGCAUGGGAUCAUGGAAAGCUUCUCCAAUAUUUAAAGUCUUAUCAACAUGUUGAAAAAGAUGAAAGAAUGAAGUCCAAUCCUGACCUCUACUUUAACUGCAGAACUCGAUGGCUGGGAAGAAUCAUCGGAAGCUGUUGAAGUUGAUGGUGAGAAUUCAGUGCUGGAAGAAACCGAAUCUUCCUCUUAUAACGUCUCUAAUGGUAAUAGAAGCCGACAUGUAAAUGAUGAUGACUCUUAUCUCCCCGAAAGGAAGGUGACUAUGAGAUGAAGCAUAUAGAUAAAGUUGGAACUCGGACGUUCAAUGUAGCUAUUGCCCCCUUUGCUCUGUCCACAUUUGGAGAUGAUAUUAGUGUAGAGAUUAUCCAACUCAUAUGCAGCUUCUAGUUGUAGAGAUUAUGAUGUUAUUUAGAUAUAUUUGACACUUUGAUUAUGGAUGGAUAAAGUUAUUUGGAUGAUUAAAUAUUUAUAUAUGUUUUGGUUGUGGAA
Long non-coding RNA from Salvia miltiorrhiza (redroot sage), 1746 nucleotides. RefSeq lists it as uncharacterized. The transcript has 5 exons. NCBI's taxonomy places the organism in Eukaryota, Viridiplantae, Streptophyta, Magnoliopsida, Lamiales, Lamiaceae. The record is from RefSeq and is a predicted model, not a curated record.